GAAACGACUCUCGACAACGGAUAUCUCGGCUCUCGCAUCGAUGAAGAACGUAGCGAAAUGCGAUACUUGGUGUGAAUUGCAGAAUCCCGUGAACCAUCGAGUCUUUGAACGCAAGUUGCGCCCGAAGCCAUCCGGCCGAGGGCACGUCUGCCUGGGCGUCACGC
Molecule: ribosomal RNA, 164 nt
Filed under: Mangleticornia ecuadorensis
Lineage: Eukaryota; Viridiplantae; Streptophyta; Magnoliopsida; Caryophyllales; Amaranthaceae
Description: 5.8S ribosomal RNA
Rfam family: 5.8S ribosomal RNA
About the family: 5.8S ribosomal RNA (5.8S rRNA) is a component of the large subunit of the eukaryotic ribosome. It is transcribed by RNA polymerase I as part of the 45S precursor that also contains 18S and 28S rRNA. Functionally, it is thought that 5.8S rRNA may be involved in ribosome translocation.
Source: RNAcentral